This 252-nucleotide ribosomal RNA is filed under the name uncultured bacterium. Its description in RNAcentral is "partial 16S ribosomal RNA". It matches the Rfam family "Bacterial small subunit ribosomal RNA", at positions 524 to 776 of the family's 1533-position model. The record is from RNAcentral.
UACGUAGGUCCCGAGCGUUGUCCGGAUUUAUUGGGCGUAAAGCGAGCGCAGGUGGUUUAUUAAGUCUGAUGUAAAAGGCAGUGGCUCAACCAUUGUAUGCAUUGGAAACUGGUAGACUUGAGUGCAGGAGAGGAGAGUGGAAUUCCAUGUGUAGCGGUGAAAUGCGUAGAUAUAUGGAGGAACACCGGUGGCGAAAGCGGCUCUCUGGCCUGUAACUGACACUGAGGCUCGAAAGCGUGGGGAGCAAACAGG